UACGUAGGUGGCAAGCGUUGUCCGGAAUUACUGGGUGUAAAGCGCGCGUAGGCGGUAGGCCAAGUCUGCUGUGAAAUCGCCCGGCUCAACUGGGCGCGGUCGGUGGAAACUGGUCAACUGGAGGACGGUAGAGGCGAGUGGAAUUCCCCGGUGUAGUGGUGAAAUGCGUAGAGAUCGGGAGGAACACCAGUGGCGAAGGCGGCGAUCUGGGCAGAUACUGACGCUGAGGUGCGAAAGCGUGGGGAGCAAACAGG
Molecule: ribosomal RNA, 254 nt
Filed under: uncultured bacterium
Lineage: Bacteria
Description: partial 16S ribosomal RNA
Rfam family: Bacterial small subunit ribosomal RNA
Source: RNAcentral